This is a long non-coding RNA of Ipomoea nil (Japanese morning glory), 126 nucleotides long. RefSeq lists it as uncharacterized. The record is from RefSeq and is a predicted model, not a curated record. The transcript has 3 exons. Lineage: Eukaryota; Viridiplantae; Streptophyta; Magnoliopsida; Solanales; Convolvulaceae.
UAUCUAUCAUCCUGCAUAACGUUUCGUGAUGGAGCCAGUGGAGGUGUUGCCACUAUUUACCAUGUUGAGCCAAAUGGAUGGAAGAAAGUCAAGAAAUUGUCAUGUGAUGAUGUUGGAGAGCUUCAC